Long non-coding RNA from Phyllostomus discolor (pale spear-nosed bat), 196 nucleotides. RefSeq lists it as uncharacterized. The transcript is spliced from 3 exons. NCBI's taxonomy places the organism in Eukaryota, Metazoa, Chordata, Mammalia, Chiroptera, Phyllostomidae. The record is from RefSeq and is a predicted model, not a curated record.
CUCUGCUAGGAUGAGAUAUCUAUCCAUGUAGAGUGCCGAAAGACCACCAUAAAGGCAAUGAUCUCUUGUAAUCAGAUAAUACAGAAACAAAAUGUGAAUGUAACCUUAAUCACAAUAGAGAGAAAAUUCAGUGUCAAAUCAACUAUAAUUGUUUAAAACAUGAUUAUGUCAAAGAGAUGUACUAGAUGAAUCAUUU